This 71-nucleotide transfer RNA is filed under the name Lodderomyces elongisporus. RNAcentral describes it as "tRNA-Ile". It matches the Rfam family "tRNA". Rfam says of the family: Transfer RNA (tRNA) molecules are approximately 80 nucleotides in length. Their secondary structure includes four short double-helical elements and three loops (D, anti-codon, and T loops). The record is from RNAcentral. RNAcentral also lists the same sequence under 1 other name. Lineage: Eukaryota; Fungi; Ascomycota; Pichiomycetes; Serinales; Debaryomycetaceae.
UAACCCGUAUCUUAAGGGUAAAGAGAUCGAUUGAUAAUCGAUAUAUACAAGUUCGAGUCUUGUCGGGUUAA